CCUCGCAGAGCUACCUAUUUUACUCAAUUUAUAGGUAACCCAGUAUUAGCGUGUAUUGGCUUGAAACAUCUUUGCUUUUGCGACGCCAUUCCCCAUUUUUUGUUCCAGAAGCUCACCGAAAGAGGAAGACUCGCUGCAAGAUGCCGCCGAAACCUGCGCCGAAAAAGAAAUGUGAUCGCGUUAAAAAGCUGAAUCAGCGUGAAUCGCGUCCAAAUUCAUCAGAAAAUGUGGAUCCAAAUGCUCGUUCAGCGCAUUCGCUGAAUUCGGUAAUGAUACAGGAAGAGCUGAAAAAGCUUCUCGCUAGUCAAGGAGAGCAUCUUACCCAGGCGGGAUACACUUUUG
This is a long non-coding RNA of Ochlerotatus camptorhynchus, 342 nucleotides long. RefSeq lists it as uncharacterized. Lineage: Eukaryota; Metazoa; Arthropoda; Insecta; Diptera; Culicidae. The record is from RefSeq and is a predicted model, not a curated record. The transcript is spliced from 3 exons.